RNAcentral lists this long non-coding RNA (1266 nucleotides) under Zonotrichia albicollis (white-throated sparrow). RNAcentral describes it as "lncRNA (ENSZALG00000006287.1)". The record is from RNAcentral. Lineage: Eukaryota; Metazoa; Chordata; Aves; Passeriformes; Passerellidae.
ACUCAAAGCUUCCCAUGGCCCUGUCUUGGGUGGGGAUUGGAGCUGGGCCUUGAGCUGGUGACAGAUUUAUGGGAUUUUUCCCAGAGCCUGGAUGGUGUUGCUAGUUUCCAGUGGAACAGGAUCCCACGAGGGUGAGUGGCUUUGGAGCUGUUGCCUGUGGAGCCACGUGAUGGGCUGAACUCACAGCUCUGGAGCAGAACCCAUCCCUCCAGAAGAGCAGCCUUUGCUCCAGGAAGUGCACACAGACACUGCAAGAGCUGAUUUUUUUCCUUUUCUUUCAACCUUCCACCCCUGGAUUUGCUUUGUUCCAACUUUCCAUGGAUCCUGCAGCUUUUGGGCAGCUCUGACACCACAAUUCUCAGGCCAAGGAGUUUGGUUUUCAUGGUGUUUCAGCAUUGUCAGGCUAACAACUCCAGCAUGUGCAGCACUGUGGAGGAUCCAUCUGAUUGUUCCUGAGCCUCUUGCUUUUCUUCUGGAGCUGCUGGAAGGGAAACUUUCUCCACAUCAGCACAGGUCUGGGGAGGGCUACAGCUCCUGCCCUGCUGUCAUCUCUGUUCCUGAGUGCCUUCCAUGACCCUUUGGUGAACAGUGACCUCUUGUCAGCCUUGAGAUCUGUGUUUGCCUCUUCUGAUGUCUCCAGCUCUGUCUUGAAACACUCACAGGAACUGAGUGUGGGAUUUGUAAUUCCUGAAUCCUGCCUGGUUGAUCCUAGAGGAGGAGGAGGAGGAGGAGGAAGGGGAGAGCCUCCUGUCUGUGCCACUCUUCAGCUCCUCACAUUCCUCAGGCUCCAGUUCCAGCUUUGGACCCCCACUCUGCUGCAGGGCUCAGAAAUGCCUCGUCGCUCAUGGGAAGCAGGAAGGCAGCAGUGGGAGUGAGGGUUUCACAAUCUGCUCCCCACUCAGCUGCUGUGGGGCUGCUUGGUGCUUCCCAGCAGGGAAAGAGAGAAAUGCUGAAUUAGAGAGAGAAAUGCUGAAUUUCUGACCAGAAAACACAGAAUCCUUCAAGGAGAAACACCUUCAGCAUGGCCCAGAAAAGCCAGACUGGUGGAACUGAGAAAAAUGGGUCCUCCCUCCUGUACAGCAAGAGUGAUCUCAAGGAAGGAGCCCUGCAGUGGGUGCCAGGUAAGGGAGCAGCUCAUUGCUAAAGGGAGAGGCAGAUCUGAUCUCAGUGUCCUUAAAAUAACCACUGACAGAUUUUACAAAAGAUGCUUUUUAACAGCAUCUCACUUGUGAAGGUACCAAAACACUGUGGAUGUUUCAGCAGUUU